RNAcentral lists this ribosomal RNA (209 nucleotides) under uncultured fungus. RNAcentral describes it as "partial 18S ribosomal RNA". It matches the Rfam family "Eukaryotic small subunit ribosomal RNA", at positions 604 to 819 of the family's 1831-position model. The record is from RNAcentral. Lineage: Eukaryota; Fungi.
UUAAAGUUGUUGCAGUUAAAAAGCUCGUAGUUGAACCUUGGGCUUGGCUGGUCGGUCCGCCUCACCGCGUGUACUGGUCCGGCCGAAUCUUUCCUUCUGGGGAAUCGCAUGCCCUUCACUGGGUGUGUCGAGGAUCCAGGACUUUUACUUUGAAAAAAUUAGAGUGUUCAAAGCAGGCCUAUGCUCGAAUACAUUAGCAUGGAAUAAUA